Molecule: long non-coding RNA, 505 nt
Filed under: Felis catus (domestic cat)
Lineage: Eukaryota; Metazoa; Chordata; Mammalia; Carnivora; Felidae
Description: lncRNA (ENSFCAG00000049307.1)
Source: RNAcentral
CCCCCCACCGCCGUGUGCCUGCUCUGUCCCCGGGGCCCCAGGGAAGACCUGUGAAAGGCGGAGGUGGAGGGGACAAAGUGAGCGAGGGCCCUGCUGUGGCCUCCAUGUUCUCAGGACCCCAAAUUCCCAAGAAACUGUCUGAAAACCCCCAGAUUCCCGCUGUGUACGGGUGUCGGGCGAAAAGCAAAUCCAGAAGAAGGCAAGCAGUCUGCACCUAAGACUGUGGCAGCUCCGAGGGGCCCCACUUUGCACGCGAACGUCCUCCGAAUGCAGACAGAAGGCAGCGGGAGAAACACCCACGGACCGGACGGACAGCCAGAGAACUUCCUGGUCUCCCUUCUGAUUCGCGUUCCCAGAUGCUGAAAAGGAAGCUAGAACAUAGAGUAACCUCUAAUUCUUCUUCCUUCCAGUCUUCCCCCUCUCAUCGGGGAGCGGGAGGCAGAGUGUUGGCAGAACGCGCGUGUCUCAAGAAGUGAAAUAAAAACAGCCGAGCUCGGUUGGAGCA